RNAcentral lists this long non-coding RNA (1600 nucleotides) under Mytilus galloprovincialis (Mediterranean mussel). Lineage: Eukaryota; Metazoa; Mollusca; Bivalvia; Mytilida; Mytilidae. The record is from RNAcentral.
AUUUUUAACAUUCAAUUUAUGAAUCACAAAUAUUUCAAAUUCCUUGAAGUUAAGUUUUAUUAUGAUGUUAAUAAAAACAUUAUGAGAAUAAUUAAGUCAAUGUAUGUUAUUAUCAUUUAAUGUACGUAUGACCUGAGACCAUAGUCAAGAUACAACAUCAGUACAAAACGAGUAUGAUGCGGAGUUAACUUCUAGAAUUAAGAACAGGAGAAGGUAUGGUUUUGAUUUUAAUGAUAUCAUACGAUUGAUGGAAACUCGCAAUAUGCUACCUAUUUUUAAAACGGGACGUUAAGUCCCUUCAGAAGUGUUAUUUGUAAAUAAUAGUUUCCGCUAGAUUAAUAAACUAUAUACAUUGUAGGGGAUAUGCACUAUUUCUUUACCAUAAACUCACUGCAUGUUUCGGUUUUCUUUUUAUCGACCCUAUAUACAAUGUGUGGCCAAAAAAAAUAAACAAAUGAAAGUUCAAAUAAUACUGAAACAAAAUAAGUCUAAAUUGCACCUCAAUAAUUCCAAAUUAUUCAAAAACAAUGUCUCAAAUAAAAUAAGGACUUAAGUCAUUAUAUAAGUAACACUAAUAAUGAAUUGUUAAUAUUACAUAUUCUACCCAUUAAAGUUUGUUUUUGAUAACUUAUUUGAUAUAUUACAACCUAUCCAAUACUUUUGAGUAAGAUUUUAAGGUUUGUUGUAAAUCAUAUAAUGAUCGAAAUGCUCACUUGUGGGACGAUGAUAACCUCCGAGACAGCGAAGGCGUCGUCUAAGUGCUGUUAAAAUGAAGAAGAAGACAAUAUCGCGUGAUGCAUUUUGUGUCUGAAUCAUUUUUUUCGAUAAACUUUAUUUAGGAACUCCUAAAGCCGAGAAUGUGAAAGCGACGACUGCAUAAAAUUUGAAACAGUUGAAAAACUGUCAAACCAAAGUUACCAACUUCGUUAUUAAUAUUUACUUACUAUUACUCAUAAACACAUCAAACACUUUUUACAGAAGCCAACAAAACAACCGUUUAUGAUGUUACUCUGUAUACAUAUGUUUUACUGUACCGCCGUACCUACUAACAUCUAAUUCUACAGUACAUUUUGAGACAGUAGUGCACUGUUUGUCAGCAAACUGUUUUAUUACAACAAAAAGUACUUUCAAAGACAAUAUUGACAUCGACUUAACAGGAACGUCAAUAGGACAAUGAUGAAAUAGAGAAUAAGAAUUACUGCUAUUUUUCUAGUAUGUUUAGAACUAUUCCAGGGGAUGGUAUAAUUGAACACAGAACUUAAAAAUGUCGAGUAUCACCAAAUAGCUUGAUGGUUAUUAAAUAACUUACCCUUUAAAGUAGAAUAACUUACUUAUAGAAACAACAGCAUAAGACGUAUUGCAAUAUAAAGUAUUCCUAUAUUCGUCAUGAUUUGUUUUCACGAUUUCGGAAUGGUAAAUUAAUUUGCUAUAACGUAUAUCUAUCUUUUUCUACGAUUUUCUUUUGUUAGUACGAAUCCUCAGGAAAGAUGCAAGGACAGAAUGCAGGCAUGUUUAGAUGGUUGCGAACAUACUCUAUCAACGUCGUAUGAAGUACAAGAACAAACAAAGCUAUGGAAAUCGUUUUUAAAUAUUUGACAGG